Molecule: ribosomal RNA, 497 nt
Filed under: uncultured bacterium
Lineage: Bacteria
Description: partial 16S ribosomal RNA
Rfam family: Bacterial small subunit ribosomal RNA
Source: RNAcentral
GAUGAACGCUGGCGGCGUGCCUAAUACAUGCAAGUCGAGCGAACAGACGAGGAGCUUGCUCCUCUGACGUUAGCGGCGGACGGGUGAGUAACACGUGGAUAACCUACCUAUAAGACUGGGAUAACUUCGGGAAACCGGAGCUAAUACCGGAUAAUAUAUUGAACCGCAUGGUUCAUUAGUGAAAGACGGUUUUGCUGUCACUUAUAGAUGGAUCCGCGCCGCAUUAGCUAGUUGGUAAGGUAACGGCUUACCAAGGCAACGAUGCGUAGCCGACCUGAGAGGGUGAUCGGCCACACUGGAACUGAGACACGGUCCAGACUCCUAAGGGAGGCAGCAGUAGGGAAUCUUCCGAAAUGGGCGAAAGCCUGACGGAGCAACGCCGCGUGAGUGAUGAAGGUCUUCGGAUCGUAAAACUCUGUUAUUAGGGAAGAACAAAUGUGUAAGUAACUAUGCACGUCUUGACGGUACCUAAUCAGAAAGCCACGGCUAACUACGUG